AUCCUUUCCAACAAACAGGAAAUGAUAUUUUCUGUAUCACCCAUCCCUUCCUGUACCAGUUCGUUUGCUUGCUUUCAUUUGUUAGUCAAAACCACAAAAGCAGAUGAGUCAUUCCUGCUGACUUGACCCGUCAUGCAAGUAAACAAACCAUGCAGAUCUUUGCACAUUGUUUUAUUUCAGGCUUUUUCUUCUUUCUCUUUGGACGUACAUGCUUCUCGUAACGUUCAUCUCUAUUCAUCAGCUCAUGGCCGUUGUCUCCCAUGCCAUCGGGUUCCAUGAAUCCUGGAGAGAUCCCUAGAUCAAGAUGCAGGUUCUUCUCCUCCUCCUGCAAGAGGCUCAACCUGGAUUGGAACAGAUAAGCAUCGCUCCGCUUCAGAAGGCCUUUAUUAACCCUCCGGAGCCAUGUGGAGAACACGUUUAGGAUGGAUAGAUGUGGAUCGAAGCACUUUCUUCAGUUCAUACUCGCGAACCCUGUUCACUGCCAUUAUAAAGCCUGGAUGCGUCAGGAUAUUUAUUAAAAUAUGUCCGAUUGUAUUCAUCAGAAGGAAGAAAGUCAUAUAAACCUAGUAUGGCUUGAGGGCUUUUUCUUCUUUCCCUUUGGAUGCACAUGUUUCUCUUUUCUAUAACGUUCAUCUCCAUUCAUCAGCUCAUGGCCGUUGUCUCCCAUGCCAUCGGGUUCCAUGAAUCCUGGAGAGAUCCCUAGAUCAAGAGUCAGACAAUGAUGGAGAGACUCAAGAAGAAGUGACAUCAUGUUGAAUGCGACAGGACACUUCUGAACGGCUUUUUCUUCUUUCUCUUUGGACGCACAUGUUUCUCAUAAUGUUCAUCUCCAUUCAUCAGCUCAUGGCCGUUGUCUCUCAUGCCAUCAGGUUCCAUGAAUCCUGGAGAGAUCCCUAGAUCAAGGCUUUUUCUUCUUUCCCUUUGGACGCACAUGCUUCUCGUAACGUUCAUCUCUAUUCAUCAGCUCAUGGCCGUUGUCUCCCAUGCCAUUGGGUUCCAUGAAUCCUGGAGAGAUCCCUAGAUCAAGGCAGGGUGCAUAUGCCCCCCCAGGAAGAGUGUCCUUGCUGGGGGUGAGGGGUCAGCGGCGGCCAGCUGGUUGGAAGGCCUUUCAUUGAUGGAGCACUUUGUCCAUCUGCAGGCUGAAAUCAAUCUGCCUGCAUGCUGGCGAACAGCAGAUCAGGUUACGUCACACCCUCCUGCCCUGUGGCUCCCAACACCUUGUGCUCAUUGUGAGAGCUCCGUGGGUGGCAAGAACUACUGGAACAGGCUCGAAUCUGCAAACAGUUCUGUUUGAGCAGACAAACUUUAUUGGCCCGGAAGAAGAGGAUGGUAUUGUGGAGCUCGUGUGCUCAAGGCCUGCUGUUGGAUGGGCCUGUUUGUCUCUGGGGCCAUGUGAAUAUGUCACUUUCGACCCCUCCACGAGGAAUAUGGGUAAUGGCUGAUUAAAGGGAGGGGUUUGUCACCUCUACUGCCCUUCUUCUCAAAUCAUUCAAUUUCUACAUGGAGCUCCUAACUACAACCUCAGCAGCUCUCUAUAAGCCCAGACCCCCCUAUUUAUCAUGCUGAAAUUUACACCCCCUCAGGGCCAUUAGAGUCUUAUGGUGCGAUUUCUCACUGGUCCUUGACAUAUCACUUAUUGAGUGCAUCAAGUAUCUCACAGAUAAGAUCAGCUGACACAGGUCAUGUAAGCAGAGAUGCCGAGCGCACUGAACGGAAAUCAGGCACAUUUCUUUUGUUUCACUCUUUUCUUGCUUUGAAAUCUGAUAUCAGAAGAGUUCUGCAUCGUUUGUUUUACUCUGUCAUGCUGUAAUGGAACAACAAUCAAAAGGUUUUUUUAAAGAAAUGAAUACUUUUAUUAAGCAAAAACAUAUUAAAAUUAAUCAAAAGUAAACAGUGGGCCAGAGAUGUGUUACAUUUCUGAGUUUGGAAAAAAAUAAGACUUCAUUUAAGGGGCUCCAGGUCUAGGUUCACUGUCAUGUGCCGUCCUUUCAUAAAUUAUCUUCAAAACCAAUUAUAACUGUAAGUGGACGAACGGAUGCUGUUUUGCUUGUGAUUUACUGUUAUUCUUUCUCUUUUUUUUCUGUUUACACACACAAUGUAAAAGCAUAAUGUCUGUAUGCAUGCUGUGUUGUUGGUUGUGUUGAUAUGUGAAUAUGUAUGUUGAUUGUUGUGUAAACAAAUUAAAAAAUUGAUCAAAA
This is a long non-coding RNA of Megalobrama amblycephala (Wuchang bream), 2198 nucleotides long. RefSeq lists it as uncharacterized. The transcript is spliced from 9 exons. NCBI's taxonomy places the organism in Eukaryota, Metazoa, Chordata, Actinopteri, Cypriniformes, Xenocyprididae. The record is from RefSeq and is a predicted model, not a curated record.